This 657-nucleotide ribosomal RNA is filed under the name Serratia sp. 47ANAIII. Its description in RNAcentral is "bacterial SSU rRNA". It matches the Rfam family "Bacterial small subunit ribosomal RNA", at positions 56 to 705 of the family's 1533-position model. Lineage: Bacteria; Pseudomonadati; Pseudomonadota; Gammaproteobacteria; Enterobacterales; Yersiniaceae. The record is from RNAcentral.
UGCAGUCGAGCGGUAGCACAAGGAGCUUGCUCCUGGGUGACGAGCGGCGGACGGGUGAGUAAUGUCUGGGAAACUGCCCGAUGGAGGGGGAUAACUACUGGAAACGGUAGCUAAUACCGCAUAACGUCUUCGGACCAAAGUGGGGGACCUUCGGGCCUCACACCAUCGGAUGUGCCCAGAUGGGAUUAGCUAGUAGGUGAGGUAAUGGCUCACCUAGGCGACGAUCCCUAGCUGGUCUGAGAGGAUGACCAGCCACACUGGAACUGAGACACGGUCCAGACUCCUACGGGAGGCAGCAGUGGGGAAUAUUGCACAAUGGGCGCAAGCCUGAUGCAGCCAUGCCGCGUGUGUGAAGAAGGCCUUCGGGUUGUAAAGCACUUUCAGCGAGGAGGAAGGGUUCAGUGUUAAUAGCACUGUUCAUUGACGUUACUCGCAGAAGAAGCACCGGCUAACUCCGUGCCAGCAGCCGCGGUAAUACGGAGGGUGCAAGCGUUAAUCGGAAUUACUGGGCGUAAAGCGCACGCAGGCGGUUUGUUAAGUCAGAUGUGAAAUCCCCGAGCUUAACUUGGGAACUGCAUUUGAAACUGGCAAGCUAGAGUCUUGUAGAGGGGGGUAGAAUUCCAGGUGUAGCGGUGAAAUGCGUAGAGAUCUGGAGGA